Molecule: ribosomal RNA, 360 nt
Filed under: uncultured bacterium
Lineage: Bacteria
Description: bacterial SSU rRNA
Rfam family: Bacterial small subunit ribosomal RNA
Source: RNAcentral
AACGAACGCUGGCGGCAUGCCUAACACAUGCAAGUCGAACGAGACCUUCGGGUCUAGUGGCGCACGGGUGCGUAACGCGUGGGAACCUGCCUUUAGGUUCGGAAUAACUCUCCGAAAGGGGUGCUAAUACCGAAUAAUGUCUUCGGACCAAAGAUUUAUCGCCUUUAGAUGGGCCCGCUUGGAUUAGCUAGUUGGUGGGGUAAAGGCCUACCAAGGCGACGAUCCAUAGCUGGUCUUAGAGGANGAUCAGCCACACUGGGACUGAGACACGCCCAGACUCCUACGGGAGGCAGCAGUGGGGAAUAUUGGACAAUGGGCGGAAAGACCUGAUCCAGCAAUGCCGCGUGAGUGAUGAAGGCC